UAAGUAAGUGGUGGAAAUUAAACCAAAUGGGAUUUCUUUAGUAAUUGCGAAUGAACAAGGAUAUGCUUAGCUUGACAAAUGGAGCUUUUGGCUUUGAGUUGUAUUGUGGAAAUGUACCACCAACAGAGGUGCAAGUGUCAGCCAUUUGAAAGAAAGCGUCAAUGAGGGUGAGAAUCCUGUUUGUCAUGUGCAGCCCUCUGUGCACGGUGUAUAUUUGCUGAGUCACACUCCUUGGCAUUGGAAUGCAAAGUGGGUGGUAAGUUUCAUACAAAGGUAAAUAUGCAAUUGAGACUGAUAGCACACAAGUACCAUGAGGGAAAUAUGAAAAGGACUUUGAAAAGAGAAUUAAAUGAGUUUGUAUUUGCUGAACACAAAGCAAACAGACUUGAUUUGCUUGGUGAGAUUGUAGUGCUUGCUUGACAAUAGGUUUUGGCUGUGGGUGAAAUGAUUCUUUCUUUGCAUGCCAGGUUCUAUGUGUACAUUUGAUUACCUUUGCACAUGAAUGGUAAUUUUCCUGCGGGGGGUGGAUUGCAUGUGCAUGUAAUGAUUUGUGUUUUGAUGAAUGUGUCUGGUGUAUCUGUUUUUGUUCCAUGUGUUUGAGGUUGUCUUCCUUCCUUGGGCUUACAAGCCCUGACACACACAAUCUGGCAAAUUGUUUCUGCUUGACCCG
This 670-nucleotide ribosomal RNA is filed under the name Alexandrium tamarense. RNAcentral describes it as "partial large subunit ribosomal RNA". It matches the Rfam family "Eukaryotic large subunit ribosomal RNA", at positions 43 to 651 of the family's 3401-position model. The record is from RNAcentral. Lineage: Eukaryota; Dinophyceae; Gonyaulacales; Pyrocystaceae.